AGUCACUUUGUUAGGAGUAUUCUGUGGCUAGAGAUCCUUGCUGCUACUGGGGCAGCAGAGAGAGAAGAUGGGCUCAGCUGUGACACUGUGGGACCCCUUAACCUGACUUCUUUUUUCCCAUCACACAGCUAUACUUCUCUUUGCUUUGAAACCAUUAAUCUAUUGAAGAGAAAUUCUACACAGCCAGGAUUUCAGGUCUAUGUUAACCGGAAGACCUUGUGCCAUCUUUUGUACCUGGGCUGGGCACUGCAACAGCACCUGAUGCUCAUCAGUACUAUGACAGCUAUGCCAGCUGGUGGGCUGAGAGCAGGAGCGGGCAAGGAAGACUGUAUACAAAAGCUCAAUGAAAAAAACUGCUACAUCCUUUGGUUUAUGGCAGUGAACAAUUUUUUAUCAACCUGUCCCUUUUCCCCCUGUGGAUAACCUGAGAAAUCUCUGCUAAAUUACCUCUAUGACCUAUACAAUGAACUACAACUCUCUAGAGAUUCCCCUCCUUCAUCUGUAAGUGUUAUAGGUAGUACUGCUUCCCUUUAGUUAACAUUGCCUGCGAAGCAUCUUGUUCCCAGAGACCCAUUGCCUCUGAAUUCAAAGUACAUUUGGAUUCACAAUGGAAACAUUGAGUCUUAUUGAAGGUUUCCUUUAGCUGUAUCCAGAAGCUUCCAAUUCCUCAACGACACAAGGAGAUUCCAUCUGAAUAAGAGGACUCCUUUUUCCUUGCUCAACCCUAUGUUUAGGAGUUCCUGAAGUGCAGAAGGUAGAACCGCAUUUCUAUUUUCAUUUGUGUGUGUAAUCCCUGCAGUGAUAAAGGAUUUAUCACAUUUAAACUCUCAGCAGUAACAAUUUCAUUAACUUUGAGAUUUCUGUCACUGAAAAAGAAUGGAUUGACAUGCUAGAAGCCAAAAAUAUCAACCACGUGUUCAGUGCAUAUCCCAUUAUGUUUUAUUUUGUGUCAGUACUCUUUGUAAACAUUAAUAGGCAAUAAUCAAUGGGAGUAUCCAGUGGCAACCACUUUAUAUAGUGGAUUCCAGUUGGAAGUUUUGAAUAACCUAAGAAAUUCAUUGUUUCUGGGUACUGUCAGGGAUCUGAAGGCUCCAAAACAUUUUGUAAGUUACCUGAGAGUAAACAUUAUACAAGAAGCAUUUUUAAAUAGAGUAUAAAGAUGACCCAAACUUCACAGCAUGGGGCAAACACUAUCAGGGGUUGGCAAAAAAAUAGGGGUACCUUUGUGCCCAAGUGUUUCUUCUCACAUUUUACAGUGGCUUCAGAACUAUCUGUCUUGUUGUGUAUGGGAUACAGACCUGAGGAUCUCUAACCUGACCUAUUUCUAUUUUCUAGUUUAUAGCCAGCUAAAUCAGUGUUAUUUGUUGAUCUCCUGAUUGUCUAGUGAUAAAACAUUUCCUCCUUAAAAUCAGCCCAUUUUAGUAGCACAUCUUAAUUUGGUGGAAAAGGGCAAACAUCUUUGUCAUGUUUCCACCAAAAGACAGCUCGCCCAUCCCUUACAAAGAAAGACUUGUUCUCCUGUUUCCAGAGAAAGAGAUCACAGCUCUAUGGCACAGCAAUAUCUGCAGCCCUCUGCAGGCAUGACUCUCACAUGUAGUUUUCUGAACAGUAAUUUUUAAGGAGCCUGAGGGGAAAAAAGGGAAAAAUAGAAGCGAUGCUAAAGGCCUUAACUUUCCAGAAAGAUAGAGCUUGAUUUAUUUUCUUAUGCCAACAGAAGACAAACAUAGUUACCUUGACUCCUAUAUUUAUUAGACUUUGACUACCAUUCCUUACAGCUCAAAGAGUGCAGAUCUUAAGAACCCACAAUGGUAGGAAAGAAAAACAGCAUUCCUAUAUAGAAAAAUGCUGUAACAAUGUUCAAGUGUCCCAAUUUUUCUACUGUAACUUGAUACUGGUAAA
Long non-coding RNA from Lagopus leucura (white-tailed ptarmigan), 1899 nucleotides. RefSeq lists it as uncharacterized. The transcript is spliced from 3 exons. The record is from RefSeq and is a predicted model, not a curated record. Lineage: Eukaryota; Metazoa; Chordata; Aves; Galliformes; Phasianidae.